AGGGAAUCUUCGGCAAUGGACGGAAGUCUGACCGAGCAACGCCGCGUGAGUGAAGAAGGUUUUCGGAUCGCAAAGCUCUGUUGUAAGAGAAGAACGAGUGUGAGAGUGGAAAGUUCACACUGUGACGGUAUCUUACCAGAAAGGGACGGCUAACUACGUGCCAGCAGCCGCGGUAAUACGUAGGUCCCGAGCGUUGUCCGGAUUUAUUGGGCGUAAAGCGAGCGCAGGCGGUUAGAUAAGUCUGAAGUUAAAGGCUGUGGCUUAACCAUAGUACGCUUUGGAAACUGUUUAACUUGAGUGCAAGAGGGGAGGGUGGAAUUCCAUGUGUAGCGGUGAAAUGCGUAGAUAUAUGGAGGAACACCGGUGGCGAAAGCGGCUCUCUGGCUUGUAACUGACGCUGAGGCUCGAAAGCGUGGGGAGCAAACAGGAUUAGAUACCCUGGUAGUCCACGCUGUAAACGAUGAGUGCUAGGUGUUAGACCCUUUCCGGGGUUUAGUGCCGUAGCUAACGCAUUAAGCACUCCGCCUGGGGAGUACGACCGCAAGGUUG
Molecule: ribosomal RNA, 549 nt
Filed under: uncultured bacterium
Lineage: Bacteria
Description: bacterial SSU rRNA
Rfam family: Bacterial small subunit ribosomal RNA
Source: RNAcentral